RNAcentral lists this unclassified non-coding RNA (456 nucleotides) under Hevea brasiliensis (rubber tree). Lineage: Eukaryota; Viridiplantae; Streptophyta; Magnoliopsida; Malpighiales; Euphorbiaceae. The record is from RNAcentral.
GUUCAAAACAGAAGGACUGAAGCAGCAAGAAACCCUGAAUGGUCUGCCAAAAGCUAUUCGUUCAAGCAUUGCACACUAUCUCUUCUACCCCAUUGUCGAAAAAGUUUAUCUGUUUCAAGGGGUUUCUCAUGACUUCCUCUUCCAAUUGGUAAUACUUCACAUGUUGCUUAUCAUUCUUGUAUGGGCAUAACACUUUUCCUUCUCCUCUUUCUCCUCCUUCUCCUCCUGCCUUUUCCCUUCUCAAGGUGCAAGUGUAAGCAGCUCUAUAGCUGUGCAAAAAAACAAUUAACCAACAAUCUGUAUGGUUUUGGAAAAUUAAAGUAAAUAUUAAUACCAGAUAUUGGUAGAUGCUGAUCAAUUUACUCUUUCUCAAAGGCUUCAGAUAUGGAGGCUGAAUAUUUUCCGCCCAAGGAGGCCAUAAUUCUGCAGAGCGAAGCUUCAACAGAUCUUUAUAUA